GGGCCCGCACAAGCGGUGGAGCAUGUGGUUUAAUUCGAUGCAACGCGAAGAACCUUACCUACACUUGACAUGCUGAGAAGUUACUAGAGAUAGUUUCGUGCCUUCGGGAACUAUGAGACAGGUGCUGCAUGGCUGUCGUCAGCUCGUGUUGUGAAAUGUUGGGUUAAGUCCCGCAACGAGCGCAACCCUUAUCCUUGUUUGCCAGCACUUCGGGUGGGAACUCCAGGGAGACUGCCGGUGAUAAACCGGAGGAAGGUGGGGACGACGUCAAGUCAUCAUGGCCCUUACGAGUAGGGCUACACACGUGCUACAAUGGCGCAUACAGAGGGCGGCCAACUUGCGAAAGUGAG
This 350-nucleotide ribosomal RNA is filed under the name uncultured bacterium. Its description in RNAcentral is "bacterial SSU rRNA". It matches the Rfam family "Bacterial small subunit ribosomal RNA", at positions 917 to 1267 of the family's 1533-position model. The record is from RNAcentral.